This 433-nucleotide ribosomal RNA is filed under the name uncultured bacterium. RNAcentral describes it as "partial 16S ribosomal RNA". It matches the Rfam family "Bacterial small subunit ribosomal RNA", at positions 29 to 507 of the family's 1533-position model. The record is from RNAcentral.
AACGAACGCUGGCGGCAUGCCUAACACAUGCAAGUCGAACGAGACCUUCGGGUCUAGUGGCGCACGGGUGCGUAACGCGUGGGAACCUGCCCUUAGGUUCGGAAUAACUCCCCGAAAGGGGUGCUAAUACCGGAUAAUGUCUUCGGACCAAAGAUUUAUGGCCUUUGGAUGGGCCCGCGUUGGAUUAGCUAGUUGGUAGGGUAAAAGCCUACCAAGGCGACGAUCCAUAGCUGGUCUGAGAGGAUGAUCAGCCACACUGGGACUGAGACACGGCCCAGACUCCUACGGGAAGCAGCAGUGGGGAAUAGUGGACCAUGGGCGAAAGCCUGAUCCAGCACUGCCGCGUGAGUGAUGAAGGCCUUAGGGUUGUAAAGCUCUUUUACCCGGGAUGAUAAUGACAGUACCGGGAGAAUAAGCUCCGGCUAACUCCGUG